Molecule: ribosomal RNA, 253 nt
Filed under: uncultured bacterium
Lineage: Bacteria
Description: partial 16S ribosomal RNA
Rfam family: Bacterial small subunit ribosomal RNA
Source: RNAcentral
UACGAAGGGGGCUAGCGUUGCUCGGAAUCACUGGGCGUAAAGGGCGCGUAGGCGGCGUCUUAAGUCGGGGGUGAAAGCCUGUGGCUCAACCACAGAAUGGCCUUCGAUACUGGGACGCUUGAGUAUGGUAGAGGUUGGUGGAACUGCGAGUGUAGAGGUGAAAUUCGUAGAUAUUCGCAAGAACACCGGUGGCGAAGGCGGCUAACUGGACCAUUACUGACGCUGAGGCGCGAAAGCGUGGGGAGCAAACAGG